Long non-coding RNA from Cyprinus carpio (common carp), 2431 nucleotides. RefSeq lists it as uncharacterized. The transcript has 4 exons. Lineage: Eukaryota; Metazoa; Chordata; Actinopteri; Cypriniformes; Cyprinidae. The record is from RefSeq and is a predicted model, not a curated record.
UUAUGAUGCAGUUAUGCGUGCUGUGUCCUUUAAGAGUUUGUGCACGCGCACGAUAGAGAGAGUGCGCGUCAGAGGGGAACAGAGAGCGCGCUGAUUGAAGCAGCAGGUAAAAGUGAGGAGAAAAUAGUUGAUAAGAAAUUGUUAAAUGGAUAUAAUCCAGGCUGAUUAUCAACUCGUGGACCUGUGGUGGUUUUAGUUGUGUGACUGCACCGAGUGGAUGACUUAAGUCAGUGUUUAUAUUAGUGUUUGUUGCCGCAUAUGAGAGAUCUCCGGUGGGGGAGGGGAUUCAGGCCUACUUCGACGGAGAUUGAGCAGGGGAGAACAAGCUGGUGAGAUCGCAUGUGCCAGUUUCCACGUGAUUGAUAAUCCGGAGUCUCAUAUAACAGAAAUGUUUGGUUACCUACAUUCUUCAAAAUAUCUUUUGCAAUCAACAGAAGGGUUGGAGUAACAUGAGGGUGAGUAAAUGAUGCUAAAAUUUUCCAUUUUAGGCUUAACUAUUUCUUUAACUCUGCAACACUGAUACUGAUUCAAUAAAUAUUGUGAAACGUCCUUUACAAAAAAGAUUACAUAAUAUAAUAUAAUAUAAUAUACAGUAAUAUAAUAUAAUAUAAUAUAAUGUAAUAUAAUAUAAUAUAAUAUAAAAAAUCAUAUACUAUUUGAUAAAAUUAUGAACCUACCCUUUUUUUUAGCACUGCAACAAAAAACAGGUGUGAUUUCUCACAAGACCUUUUUCUGUGACAGAUACCAGGAAAAUGAUAUGCAUGCUAUUCAGAAAAAAAAAAGUUUGAACGUUAUCAUCUGUUCUCUUAUUGCCUGAGCAGUGUGUCAUGAAUAAUUAAUUAUGAUAUGAUUGCAAGUUUGAACGAAAGAUCAUCACUUUCAAUUACGGAGUCCCUAUAAAUACCUCCUCCGCCCUCGGCAGAGGAGACACACAUAUUGCCAGCUAAGCUCUGCAAACAGUUGGUUGGAUGGGGAGAAUGAAGUACAAAGGGCAAAUCCUCUCAUUUUAUUCUCUCUCCUCCAGUCUCUAUUCACUGUCUGUUUGUCAGCACGGCAAUUAGGACCUGAGGUAACAAGAGCGAGUGUGAUGGUGUGACUCUUUGAGGUGAGACACUAAUGGACGUCCCACUGGGCCAAAGUGGUUCGGUGCCGUGAGGAGAAGGUGCCUGAGUAAUCGGCCCCGUCACGGCCUUGCCGAGAGCCUGGGGAGUGAAUCAGCACAGCUGGGAAGCAGACAUCAGUCUCACUAGGCCUUCGGGACGGGCCACUCCUCCUCCUCCAGGGAACUGUUCCCUCGUUUUUCAAAAGAGAUAUUGAGAAUGGGAAGGCGUUUCAGCUAGCACAUAAACACUUCCUUAAUUUGCUUGGUUAGUCCUUAAUAAUUUUUGUUUUGGAAGGAAGCAGAGUUCUUUAAUUUGUUUUUCUCAGUGCUAAAUUCCUCUUCAGUCUGUAAGAAAAUAAAGCGCUUCCUGAAAGUAAUGUAAAGGAUGUGGUUUUACGUACUAAUAUCUUCAUAAUUGCGUUAUUUUUUGUACUAAUACCAAACUUAUUUCCCUCUCGUCCCGGUAACAAAGGAAAAUUACUCCCCUUAGGAUUCCUGUUUGUUAAAAAUAACAUCUUCAGCUGCUGCAGAUUCAGGGGUCUGUGUCAUCAGGAAGUUUGAAAACCCAUUCUCCGGGAACGAGAGAGGAGGAGGAGGAAGAGAGAAAGAAAGAUGACACUGUGACGGGACACGGACAGGUACAAAUCUGACAGUAAUCUGCCUCUUCUCUUCUAAUCAUGCUGUCGGUGUGAGAGAUGAAGGCUGAGGUUUGGAGAUGGACAGCUCUGUGCUGUGAUGUUGGCUAAUGCUCUUUCAUUGUGCGGCAUUAACUGAUGAGAGAGCACCGGCACUCUGCUGAUUAACACAGCCCCGUUUCAAACUUCCUCAUCAAGAAGAAUAGAUUUGCCCCAGUCUGUCACCCCUUGUAUAAACUCUAGAUUUACGGGCUCACUUCACACUGUAUUUGUCAUAAGAAACGUAAGCUGUAAAAAGCUGUGAACUGACGUUAUUGUAAAACUCAACAGUCGCUGGAGGAUUCUGACACCCUCAACCUUAUUUUUCCCAAGUUCUUCUGCCUGUUGGAAGUGCUGCUUCAUCACAUUAGCAUCCUUUAAACGGAGAGUUCAGACUCUGAAUUCUAAUUGGACGAGCAGUAUAAAAUGCAGAUGAACUUGUACAUGACCUCACAGUUUAUUUUAAUGCAGCAGCACAAUACAUCGCUUGGCAACCAUAAACAGCCUAAUGAACUUUUUUACUUGCAAGAUUCUGAUUAUUUUUAAUGAAUAUAUUUUAAUAACUUAACAAUAACUAUUUAUAUGGACAAAAUUCUGAAUUUAAUUAUUGGUUCCCUUUUUCCUCUAAGAAGUGGAUUUGUGUGUGUGUAAUUGU